GAUGAACGCUAGCGAUAGGCUUAACACAUGCAAGUCGAGGGGCAGCAUGGUCUUAGCUUGCUAAGACUGAUGGCGACCGGCGCACGGGUGCGUAACGCGUAUGCAACUUGCCUCACAGAGGGGGAUAACCCGUCGAAAGACGGACUAAUACCGCGUACACUCCAUCUUGGGCAUCCAAGGUAGAGGAAAUGAAAUUCGCUGUGAGAUAGGCAUGCGUCCCAUUAGCUAGUUGGUGAGGUAACGGCUCACCAAGGCGACGAUGGGUAGGGGAACUGAGAGGUUGAACCCCCACACUGGUACUGAGACACGGACCAGACUCCUACGGGAGGCAGCAGUGAGGGAUAUUGGUCAAUGGGCGAGAGCCUGAACCAGCCAAGUCGCGUGAAGGAUGACUGUCUUAUGGAUUGUAAACUUCUUUUAUACGGGAAUAACAAGAGUCACGUGUGACUCCCUGCAUGUACCGUAUGAAUAAGCAUCGGCUAACUCCGUG
This 490-nucleotide ribosomal RNA is filed under the name uncultured bacterium. RNAcentral's name for it is "partial 16S ribosomal RNA". It matches the Rfam family "Bacterial small subunit ribosomal RNA", at positions 28 to 507 of the family's 1533-position model. The record is from RNAcentral.